Hypanus sabinus (Atlantic stingray) is the source of this 1587-nucleotide long non-coding RNA. RefSeq lists it as uncharacterized. The transcript is spliced from 3 exons. The record is from RefSeq and is a predicted model, not a curated record. NCBI's taxonomy places the organism in Eukaryota, Metazoa, Chordata, Chondrichthyes, Myliobatiformes, Dasyatidae.
UGCAAAGUUCAACAGGCUUUAAAAUGAUUUUGCUUCCAGACAUUUUGUGUGCGAGCGUGUUCUCCCCCGAUUUACUUUUUCCGAGCUUUGUUGUGGUUUGCAGUGUAGGUUAAGACAUUUAUCACAGUAAUCCCUGAUAAUGGUGUGCCCAAUUGUGUGUUGUUAUUUAGAAAAUUAAGUGUGCUCCCGCACCCCCUUGAGCACAAGUGAACUUUUCCAAGCAAAAAAAGCUUUUGCAGGGAAAGUAAUUUUGUGCGUCUCGUCCAAUCCUUUUGCUGGAUCCAAAUUCAUGCACCCAGCCGUACAUCAUGGCAGUCAAUUAUCAUAGCUUCAUCUGAUCAUCAAUCACGGGAGAUGCUAGAAGUUAAGGGGCGGAGCAUUGGUCGACCCAUCGAUUGCAGGAGUUUUGUCUUUUCCCCCCUCGUUCACGGUCCCCUGCGCACAAAGGCCAGAGCGGACUAUUCCGUUUAAUAUUUGGCUUCAUCAAUAGACAUGCUGUCUUUUGUGCAUGUGACAUCACAUAUCGACGGUUUCACAAAAAUGGCAAAAUACGUUGUCUACGGGAUAUUUGAUUUCCAAAAUUAAACAUGAAUCACGACUUUGUCAAGACAGACAGUAUAUGUGCACUUUAUUUUUACGGACACAGGGCAUAAUAACAAUGCAACUUCAGAGGUCAAUAAAGCAAAACAAAAUGAAUGAUUAGGAUGAUGAUGAUAGUGAUAACCACUGCAAUUAAGCAGUUUGAUUAAACGAGGCAUCAUAACAACAGUGAUGUUUGUGAAAACACCCCUCAUAUAAAAAAGUAAGAUAGUGCAGCGGUUGACAAACGCCAGUGGGCAUUCCAACACGCUUCUGCCUGAGUUUACCAAGGAGUGUUGACAAUGCAAGACAUCGUCGAAAAUCCGCUCCCAAAAUACUUUUACGCAUUGUUCCCCCUCUCUUUCCCCCAUAAGAAAAAGACGUACAGCUACUGAAGAUCCAGCCGCCUUCCGAGAUGUUCUUCAAAUAGUACUCUUCUGGUAUAUUUUCUGGUUUGUGCUUGCGACUUGUCCUCCUAUAUAGCAUGGUAUCAUGAACCGUCAAUGGAGUGUCGAGAGGUACAAUAUAUGACAGAAAUUCAUAACAAGGAAGGAAAACGUAAAGGAAGACUAUAACAUUACGGAUCUGUAAUUAUUUUCGUGAUCUCGCUCUCAGAAGGGACAGGUCUGAAAGUCCCCGACACUAAACAGAGUCAACGCUUUCUUUUGUUUAAUUUUCAUUGCCUUUCAUUCUUAGCUUGUGUGAGUGUGUUUUUAUUACCGUUUCGCCGCGCAUUGUUUUCCCGGCGGAUCGUAUAAAUAUCUUCAUUUCUUCUCAGCAAAACUUUGGAGUCUUCAUUUGUUCGGGUAAAGAGGUGAUCCAAAAGAGAAUAAUCACUACCAGUCCCUCGUGCCAAGGACAGAACACAGGAGCAAAUACAGAUCUAUAGUCCGUAUUCUACUUCGAAAGUCUUCAUUUUACAGCGAAAAUGCAACCCAUCACUUCCCGACUGAAAAAAAAAGCAAAAAGUCGUUAAAAAAUGCAAAGGAAUGCCAGGUUGUUGAGUAA